GGCUAGAAGCAGCUAGCGUUAUGUCAAGCUAUAGUUCAGACACCUUCAAGAUGGCAGCACUCGAUGUCUCCAAGCCAUACACUUCUAGCCAUUGUGAAAUUACUUAGAAAAAGUCAAAAUUUCGAAGGCAUUGCCAGGGAGGAUUCAGGGAAGCAUCAACGUAUUUUGGAGGGGGCGCGGUAAGGGGAGGGGGUGACACGGUUAAUUUUGUUAACGUGGAAGUUGCCGGCAUGCUUCGGAUAGUUACGUUGAUAUGGCAUAUAUGUAAUCAGCACCACAAAUGGAGCACGCGCGUGCCAGGAGUGUAUAAGAUCGGCUGUCUCCUAUCGCGGACAGCCAAUUUUUUUAUGCGAACACCCCUUGGCACGCUUAUUCGGCCUCCGCGGCUCCAACCGUUGCUCCAACCCACGGGCCGCCCUGCUUCCAGCUUUGAUCCCCCGCUACCCCUUGGGUGCCCCGGAGAUCCUGCGCCGCCUGCUUUAUUAUAAGCUCAGGUGCUGUCCUGAGGCCUCCGUUUGCUGGUCGUAUGUGCCCUCCUGGAGCAGUGCUUGUAAAAAAUCCAAUCUAUCGUCGCUACGAAAAAAGCGACCCGCUACUUAUACAACACCAGUCAGAACAUUUGCCCUUCAGACACAGCGAUCACUAAAUGGGGCGUCCGCGCCCACUGCCUCGACGCGCGGGCAGCCAGCAGCUCGUAAACAAACUCGACCGCACUCCGCAACGCCGGCAUGUCUGGGGACAAACGAAUAUAACACGCGCUAAGAAACCUCCUCCGUAGUGCCUAGGCAACCAUAUAUUCAAGGAGCAAAAGCCCCCAGAUUUUUUCUCUCGUGCUCGCCCUUACAACCUUUCCUUUCUCCAAGCGAACCACUUGUUGCGGUGCCUGACGUUCAGAAGUGGAAAAUUGAAGAAGCCCGUUGUGUCACUUCAUUUCUUAUUGUGACCAUGUCUGCAGUGGUGUCCGGUCGUCAGCCUCGUCAGCAGGCGCAUGCCUUUCAAGGAUGCUCAAGCCAGCCAGCAAGAGAGUGAUCUUCCCCAAGUACGAUUUGCCCUCUAGCCCCACAUAGCAUCAUCCCAUGUACCUUUAGGAGUGCCAACAAAUUUUCUUCCUCAUUUGAAACAGCUUGUGUAGAAUACUAUUAACCAUGGAGUCUGCCAAUCCCUGCGGAAGCAGCUGCAUCUUUCUCCGAGGUGGUACGAAGAAGGAAGUUCCGUAGCUGUGAUAUCAUUGACCAACUGCCUGGGAGUCCCAGUUGUCCAUAGAAGAUUGCAACAAAGUAUUCCAGGUUGAAAAUCAAGCCUUUCUGUAUAGCAGAAAUGGUGGGCCUCCUAAUCAAAACAUGGCCCCAGGGCCCACAAUGAGCUCUUUGUGGUAGGCCAACCACAGUUCAGUUGUAAUUCCAAUUGCCAAGUUUUCAAAGCACCACAAAUGAGUUUUGUGUGUGUGUGAUAAUGGUGUAGUUUUUGCAGCCAUGAUUUAAGCAAAAUAAGUCUUUUAGAACAUUGGUUACUACUGAAAAGAUAUAUUCAAGAAAGCACUGUGAAUGCACCUCAGCUUACAAUUCCAUCCAAGUCUUAGCCUGUUGUUUCUAUGCACUGUUUGCUUUACUUGAAAAUAAAGUCUAAUACAUUUAGUGAUGCUCUUAAAAAAGCUAAUUGGUCAAUGUACCCAUUUUAUAAGCCUUUUAACUGAAACAAUCUUGUUUUUACUUGCAUUGGUAACUAAGAUUUAUAAGUUCUCUGUAAAGAAGUUGCAUUCACUAAGGACCCACUGUAUUAGUCGUAUUCAUGGCAACCAUACUAAAUCACAUUUGUAUUUAUGAAAUAAACUGCAUUUUUAUUGCUCCCUUAA
Long non-coding RNA from Dermacentor albipictus, 1852 nucleotides. RefSeq lists it as uncharacterized. The record is from RefSeq and is a predicted model, not a curated record. Lineage: Eukaryota; Metazoa; Arthropoda; Arachnida; Ixodida; Ixodidae.